Molecule: long non-coding RNA, 2992 nt
Organism: Cygnus olor (mute swan)
Lineage: Eukaryota; Metazoa; Chordata; Aves; Anseriformes; Anatidae
Exons: 8
Source: RefSeq, a predicted model, not a curated record
UUCAAUUCUGCUGAAAGAAAAUAGGAGACUUCAGAAUUUUAAAUGACAAGAUGGUGAGCAACUGAUUACUUGUUAAAGGACGCCGAAUGUGUGGGACAGAAGGAUGCACCAGGGAAGCAAGCAGAUCCAGAGCUCAAGCAAGACACAGUGAUAGUAGAAACAGUAAAGAAAACAAGGAAAGGUGACCUGCGCCACAUGGUGACACGAGGACAUUGGAUAAUAUUACACAAGUGCUGCACCUCAGCUGCUCCCACUGACAUCUAUUGGAUCAUCGGACACGUAAAAUUACUCUGACACUUGUGUUUGCCAGCAGAGGAGCCCAUUAAAUACAUGACUGGUAUAAAUGAACCUCUUUGCUUGGGUGGGGAAGACAAUGACAGGGAAGAUGACCCUUAUUAAAGUUUUCUAGUAGGAUUCCUAGGCAUGGGCAGGCUCCUAGCUAUAGCAAUGCUGUCUGAACAGUGGUUCAGAGCGUUGGUGACAAAUUCGAAACCUCUGGAAUCACUGGGAUUUGGAUACGCAGAGAACCAAGGUGAGACGUGUGCUGCUGCCUGGGGCACAGUGGCUCAAGGCUUGGGAUUUUGAGGGAACAGAAUCACUCACCGGGGCCUCUGGGGCAGUGCUGUGGGGACAAGGCUCAGGAGCAGUGCAGGACGUGUUUGUUCUUCCUCCAUUCUUGGUGAUUGCAUGGGGAUAUGGUGAAAACAUGGCUUUUACAAUAGCAUUUAAUUAAUUUUUGAGGCAGAGUCCCCUUCUGCCCACAUUUCAGGCUUUUGGUUGGCUCUCUCCAGUCCACCCUCCCCACCACCAUUUUCUGUGCUUUCUCCUUACCUCCUGCACUUCUGCCUUCAACAGGUCUCUGAAAAGCUGGCAGAACCAUGAGAGGGGCCACAAAAGACCUUUGCAAUUUUUCAGCCAAUGACAAUAAUUAUGCUAAAGUUAAAAGUUAAAUGUCAUGUAAGACUGCGUGUAGGGUCUGCGUUGAACCAUAGGCACUCUUUGGUAGCCAUGGACAUGUUAACAUGGACAUGUUAAAAAUGUAUUAGACAAUGGAGCACCUGAGCAUAAAGUUUCUGUUCAACAGAGAGUGAAAUGUUAUAAUCUAAAUAGGUGAUACUGUCUACAUAGCUCUUUUAGAAAAGAAAUUUUUGAAAGUUAGAGGAUGGAUCUCAAGGCUCCUAAAUGCCUUGGCUUGGUGUACCUGCUAUAUGAUGAGUUUCUGUUGGCCUUGACCUUCAAGAUACUUUUUAAAAGUGUUGUUCCUAGAAGGAAAGACAAUUGGAAGGGAUGAAGAAAAAUUUAUUUGAUAAAAUUUAACUUUCUGAUUGGGGGUGAGGAUGCAGAUCUCUGAAGUGAAAACAGAAAGGGCUGGCAGGUUGUUGACAAGGAAAAGUUUAGGAAUGUCUCUUCUUACCCUCCAGGUCUCUGUCCAAGAAGGGUCAUAUGUCAUGUGUCUUGUUCUUGUCUUUUCUGCUUUUUGUGCCAACUUAAAAAAAAAAAAGUCAGAAAACAAAGAAGAUAUAUAGAAGAUAUAUGGAAUUCCAGUGAAUUGUAUUUUGGUGUAAGAUCGGUGUAUGCUGUUGAAAAUUAAAUCUCUGAAGGCUUUGGCAGUUUCAAACUCUGUUGAAGUCAUUGGGAUCUGAAGAUGCUCACAACUUUAUAAUCCUUUUAACAAACAACACCAUAAUAAUAAUAAUAAUAAUUUUCAAAGGACUACCCACCAAAUACUGUAAGUAACAGUAGCAAAACCUUUUCAUUUUGUACAAACACCAGUGCUUCUGGGAGACCAUUCCAUUCUCCAAAUGUAUAGAUGUUUGAGCAAAGGGUUCCCAGAAACAAGUAACAAGAAUAUUGAGACCAUUGCUCACUAACCACGGUUUUUAUUUUGCAAUAGUUAUUGAGAUCUGCAGGGGUUUUCCUGGGCUCAAAACUUGGCUGUUUUUAGUAGCAAUAUUUUCAGUUGUGUCAUAUGAAUUGUUUCAUUUUAUUAGAGCUGAAUGCUGUUAUCUGCCAUUUUGGAAUUGCUAGCUAUAUAUCUUGGAGCAAUGUAUUUGUAUGCUGUACAAAUAGCAAAAACCUAGAGCAAAAUGCUGUGUAAUUUGAAUGUUAGCUGUACCCUUUGUGAGUCUCUCGGGUUUGUAUCACUAUCCAGGGAAUGUAUCUGAGCACCUUUGUUAUUUAGCCUGAUUGAUUGAACAUUAUGCAUCCAGAUGCAUUACUUUCAAAACUUAUUCUUGAAUGUUUAGCUAGAAAUUCUCUCUCAAGAGAUAUAUUUUUUUCAUAUAGACAGUUGCCACUUAAGCCAGUUUUGUGGAAAUGACACAUGGAGAUUUUAAGAUUACCUUCAUGUGUUUUACCGAAACCUAGCCUACAUAGUGUUUUGAGACACGAGUAUGAUCAGAUGCUUUUUCUUGUACAGGUAAAGUAUAUAUGCUUUUUUCCAACAGGUUUGCAUAGCCUUCCAGAAAGAACUACUCUUCUUAAGCAGCAGCAGGCACUGUGAUGCUGGAAAACCACUGUAGUCCAUAUACUGAACCCCAGAACAUCAUGGGACAACACAGCAAGAGGGAAAAGAAGAAAUGACCAAAGAAGUACCAUUGUUGCAGCGAUUCCCAGGGCAGCACAUUCCAUCUCUGUGGCAACGCUUCUUCUUCCUCCGGCAUAUCACGCAUGCAGAUGUUGCUUGAUGAGGACUGUGACAGUACCGCCCAACUUCACAUUCCUUAUCGUUGGUGCAAGGAUAGGCCUGGUGGGUAAAAAGAAAAGUGAAGCAGUGUACAAGCAGAUCAGAAUUGAUGGGACAGUUGCAUGCAACACAUGGCCUGUACAGCUAGAUGAAUACAUUGCACAAUGGAUUUGUCCCAGUCACCUCUUUGGAGAGGGAACGAAGACCCUCUCUGUGCAAGGCAAUGAAAAGACCUAAUGGGAUCUCACAGGACACAAACCUUUGUAACAAUGGAAAUAAGAGAUCUUCGCUCAGAACCACAUAAAU